GAUGAACGCUGGCGGCGUGCCUAAUACAUGCAAGUCGAGCGGUAAGGCCCUUCGGGGUACACGAGCGGCGGACGGCUGAGUAACACGUAGGAACGUACCCCAAACUGAGGGAUAAGCACCAGAAAUGGUGCCUAAUACCGCAUGUGGCCCACGGGCUAAAGCUCCGGCGGUUUGGGAACGGCCUGCGUCCGAUUAGCUAGUUGGUGAGGUAAUUGCUCACCAAGGCGACGAUCGGUAGCUGGUCUGAGAGGAUGAUCAGCCAGACUGGGACUGAGACACGGCCCAGACUCCUACGGGAGGCAGCAGUAGGGAAUUUUCCACAAUGGGGGCAACCCUGAUGGAGCAACGCCGCGUGCAGGAUGAAGGCCUUCGGGUUGUAAACUGCUUUUAUCUGUGACGAUUAUGACGGUAGCAGAUGAAUAAGGACCUGCUAACUACGUGCCAGCAGCCGCAGUAA
Molecule: ribosomal RNA, 457 nt
Filed under: uncultured bacterium
Lineage: Bacteria
Description: partial 16S ribosomal RNA
Rfam family: Bacterial small subunit ribosomal RNA
Source: RNAcentral